RNAcentral lists this long non-coding RNA (846 nucleotides) under Homo sapiens (human). RNAcentral's name for it is "HSALNT0244863". Lineage: Eukaryota; Metazoa; Chordata; Mammalia; Primates; Hominidae. The record is from RNAcentral.
AAGGCCAUAUAAGUAAUAAACAGAAAAGUAUUGGCAGAGCCAAGAUUUGAACUCAAGUCUGUCUCCUCGCUAAGCUCUUGAUCAGUAAGUUUCCUGGAUUUUUUUCUCCUCAGUUGAACUCUCAAUUUAAAUGUAAAAGUCUUCAGUUUGCAAAGUUUACCUUUUCUUCUUCUGUAUCUCAGUGCUAGUGAAGAAUGGAACAAGAUCCAACUACCAUCAGCAGAGGAUAACCCUCACUGUCGUGGAGCACAGGGCAUGGAUUCAGGUGCUGACCCAAUCAGAUCCAAAGCUAACACUGCUGCUAAGAGACUGAGCCACUGGAGCUAGUCACCUGCCCUCUCCAAGCCUCAGUUUCCUCAUGUGUGAAAGUCUAGCAAUAAUAUCAAUUUCACUGGGAUAUAAUAGGGAAUAGCAGAAGCUGGAGCAGAAAUACGUGGCCCAUGAUACAUACUCUGCGGGUGCUAGUUUCCUACUUCUUCCUUCCACAGGUAAAAAGGACAGCAGAAGUGUGGCACAACUGGCCAGAUGCUAUGGACGUGAUGGAGCCAGAACGCUAAGGAUACGUCAAAGGUGGAAGGAAGAAUGAACAAAAGACCUGAAUAAGACUGGAUUGUUGAAGACCCACCAGUGAUCAUUUUAUGGCAUUAAUGGAGAGCAUAGAAUUUAAGAACUCAUGGUGCAAGACAAUUAUUUGAUGUAAUUAAAAGAGCAGAAAUUUUAAAGUCAGACAACUGAGAGUUUGAAUUCCAACUUGGCCACUUACUGAAUAGGAAAACUCAGUUUCUUCAUCUGUAAAAUGGGCAAAUAUGUACUUUAACUCUCACAAGACUAUUAUGAGAAUCAAAU